Molecule: ribosomal RNA, 570 nt
Filed under: Meyerozyma guilliermondii
Lineage: Eukaryota; Fungi; Ascomycota; Pichiomycetes; Serinales; Debaryomycetaceae
Description: partial large subunit ribosomal RNA
Source: RNAcentral
GCGGUUUGGGAUCAUUAUGCCAGCAUCCUUGAUAAAAUCGCAGUCCUCGGUCUAGGCAGGCAGCAUCAACGCAGGCUAUAACACUUCACCGAAGCAAAGUCACAUUCCUACGCCAUUAUCCUACCGCCCAAACCGAUGCUGGCCCGAUAAGCUGCGGGUCACCCCGCCACGAAGGCAAGGCUCACAAAAUAUCGAGUCUGAUCUCAAACCCUUCCCUUUCAACAAUUUCACGUACUUUUUCACUCUCUUUUCAAAGUUCUUUUCAUCUUUCCAUCACUGUACUUGUUCGCUAUCGGUCUCUCGCCAAUAUUUAGCUUUAGAUGGAAUUUACCACCCACUUAGAGCUGCAUUCCCAAACAACUCGACUCUUCGAAAGCACCUUACAUAGGAUUGGGCAUCUCAUCGCACGGGAUUCUCACCCUCUGUGACGUCCUGUUCCAAGAAACAUAGACAAGAGCCAACCCCAAGGUUACAAUCUUCAAAUUACAACUCGGACACCGAAGGUGCCAGAUUUCAAAUUUGAGCUUUUGCCGCUUCACUCGCCGCUACUAAGGCAAUCCCUGUUGGUUU